Molecule: long non-coding RNA, 3715 nt
Filed under: Malus domestica (apple)
Lineage: Eukaryota; Viridiplantae; Streptophyta; Magnoliopsida; Rosales; Rosaceae
Description: long non-coding RNA (MDOM_LNC019771)
Source: RNAcentral
GGAAAGGCUUUCAUCUUUAGAAUGUUCCCAUCGACAUUAAUGGGUGUCAUGCUCGAACAAACCACCUCGAACUCCUUAAGAUGCUUGUUUGGAUCUUCCAUGGACAACCCAUGGUAUUUAGGAAUGUGAUGCAACAAGCUUGACUUCAAUUCAAACUCAUCGAUUUUGCCUUGGGCAACCACGGGAUAUUGAAUGCAAAGGGGGUGUGGCAUUGGCUAACCCCAAGGCCGAAAGCUCCUUUAUUCUACGGUUGUCCGGUGCCAUGACUUCUUCUUCUUAUUCUUCUUCAAAUUCAAAUUCGGCCUCUGAACUUGAACUAGGUUCACUAGGUUCUGGAUGCCUCCUCUUUCUUCUUCUCAAAUUUCGUUCAAAAUCGUUGUUAAAGUCCAAGAUAUGUUCACGAACUGGUUGAGAACUCUGAGUCAUAAACUAGUACCUAAACAAAGAAAAUAAAACAAAAUUAGAAAACUAGUAAAAUACACAUAAAACACACGGCAAACACAAGGGAUUAGCAAUUGCUAAUCCCUGGCAACGACGCCAAAAUUUGAUGUGAAAAUUAAGUUGACACACAAAUUAAGCCCUAUUGAUGACAAUUGUAGGUAGUAUUAAGCAAGUAAGGAUCGUUCUAGACCGGGAAUUAACUAGGGAUGCAAAUCAACACAAAUAAGACUCAAAAACACUAAACUAGACUCUAUAGACUCAAAACUAACUUAAAACACUCAAAACAGCAACAAACAAUAAAAAAGGCUCAAUUCUAGACCUAACAAGUGAUUUGGACGAAAAUAAGAUUUAACUCGACUCAAAAGACUAAAAGAAAACAUGUUUUGACUCAACUAAUAAGAUUUAAUGAAUGGGGGAUCGCUUUUGAUGAAUUUAAAAACUUAAAAACAUAAACUUAAGAAGACACGAAAUUGAUGAAAUAGAAUGGUGAAAGGCUAGUUAGAGGGUCAUUCUCCACACAUGACAUAUGGUGAAAGGCUAGUUAGAGGGUCAUUCUCCACACAUGACAUAUGCAUACGAAUCGAUUUCCAAUUAUUCUUUCGACAAACCAUGAAUGACAAUGCCCCGAAUUAAUUGUAUUGAACUAAUUAAUUCUCAGAUUUCCCUAAAAUCAUUGAACUGAAUGGAUAACGCAUCACAACCAAAUUAUUCUUUAUCAAGUUCCCUAACUAUGGAAUACGCAUGAUAGAAAUACUUAACAAAGAUCAUUAAGUUCAGUGGAAACCAUAAGCAUUGACGAGGCAUUCAUAACUAUGAAAAGCAUGUUACUCUUGCCUAGGAUUUACUUAACACAAUCGUGACUAGCGACUUUUACUACUCAUGAAGAUAAGUUCAUAACGAUUAGGUGAAAUUCCCUUAUACUCUAGCAUCAAAUUCAUGCAUGCAAACUAAGUAUGCAUCCCUAAUUAACACAAGUUCUUAAUAAAACAGAUAAGUAAACCACAUCCACGAUUCAUGAAACAAUAACUGGAUGAAAUCAAUUCAUAUAAAACAUAUAAUCAUGGCUUUGAAUUCACCUCCAACUAUAAAGAAAUUAGUUCCUCAUGUUCGCAAUUAAACAAAGAUAACUUAAAUUAAACAUUGAAAGUAAAAGAUGGAAAACACCUAAGAACGCUCCAGCAUUCCCAAAGGCUUGGGCAUAGGCACGACACAAAGGCUCAUAUUCUUUCUCCUUCCUUGCAAGCUGCGGCACUAGAGGGGUGAAUGUGUUUGAGGGAUGUAUGAAUGUAGAAUUAAUUAUAUGGUAGAGGGAUUUAUGCGGCAAGGGUUGGUAUUUAUAGGGUUAAAAACCCACGGUACAAGGUAGCAAAGGAAAAGGGUUUUAAAUGCCUAAUUUGUAUAGGAAAUUAAUACACAAUCCUUGAAGGAAAAGGGUCCUCUAUAAGUCAGAAAUCCAAGGGAAAUAGGGAGAAUAGAAUCAGGUUUCUAGAACUUCUAGAAAGGUUUGGGGCGCCAGAUUUGCAGGACAAGGAAUAAGGCCUUCUAGAAAGGUUGUUUUGUGGCUGAUUUCCUACAAAAGCAAGGGAUAAGGUGUGGCACCUUUGUAGGAGUGGAUAAGGGCUUCUAGAAACCAAUUUUAAUAUGUUUUAUUUGUACAAUUAUCCCUUAGAAAUAGCUAGAAUUUAGGCACAAACUGAUUUAGAAAGGAUAAGAUAAGAUAAGGCUUGAUUAGGCAAGGAUAAGAUAAGAAAAUGUUGGAUAAGGUUUUGGAUAAUGUUCCUUCUUUUGAGCUAAUUCCUUAUCUUCUUUGUCUUGGAUUUAUUUCUUCACUCUUUUCAGCUCAUUCCUAGCCUCUUGAACUUCAAAUUCAUCCAUCCAUCUUGCUCCACUCAUAAGCUAUCCAUUUGAUGCCUAAAACUGCCUCAAAAAGCUCCAAAUUGCACUUUCUUGCCAACUUUGUCAUAUGGACCUACAAACACACGAAAAUAGCUUAAAUCACUAUAAUAAACACAAACUAGCUACGAAAACGCAAGAAAACAAGCUAACUAAGUCGCAUAAAUAUGCUCCUAUCAUUGAAAACUGGAAAGUCCCUGUGUGUGUUAACCUCUGUUCUCCGUGGCAAGGCAGACUAGCAAAAAUGCCCAACCUUUACUCACAUCGAUAAAACACUCCCAACAGGAUUGCUUUCUCAAAAAUUGAAGAGGCACCGCUCCCCGAAUCUUGAGAGUCAAACUCCCACCAAGAUUGCUUUCUCAAAAAUCGAAGAGGCAUCGCUCUCCGUAUCUUGACAGCCAGAUGAUGCGAAAAUUAACUUAACACACAAAUUAAACCCUCUUUUGACAAUUGUAUAUGUAUAAGUAGGGAUCGUUCUAGACCAGGGAUUAGGAGGGCUUGCUAAUAACCUCUAAACUGACUCAAAAACAUAAAACUAAAAUUAAAAACACUUAACAAGACUCACAAGACUCAAAGCAAACUUAAAAUACUCAAAGCAGCUUAAAACAACCAAAUAAACUUAAACUAGACACUAGGAAUGAAUUUGGAUGAAAAUUGACUUUUACUUGAAUCAAAACACUUAAAAACACAACUAAAACAGAUUCUAACUAAUUAGACACACUAAAGUAAAGGGGAUUGAGUUUUGGAUGAAUUUAAAAUAAAAACAAGUAACUAAAACUUAAGACAGAUUUUGGACGAAUUUGGUCGAAUUAGAUGGAUGAUAAGCUAGCUAGAGGCUCUUUCUCCACACAUGACAUGUAUGCAAACGAAUCAAUUUCCAGUUACUCCUUCAUCGAAUUAUAAACGACAAUGCCCCAAAUUAACCGUGACAUCACUAGUUAACCCUCAGAUUUUCCUUGUAUUAUUGGAUUGGAUGACAUCAUUCGACAACCCAAAGCAUUCUUCAAAAGUUCCCUACAUGACAUCAUAAUAAAGAUACAAUCAAAGAUCAUUACGUUCAAUGAAAAUCAUAAGCAUUGACAAAGCACUUGCAACUAUGACAUCAUGUCACUCAUGCUAUGAAUUAAACUUAACGCGAUUGUUUAUAAGCGACCUCCACUACUUGUAAACAUAAGUUUGUAACGAUUAUGUGAAACUUUCUUAUAUUCUAGCAACGGAUUUAUGCAUGCUAAUUAAGUGUCGACCCUUAAUCAACAAAUACAAAUAAGUUAUCAAUCAAAUAGUUAAACCAAUUGCAUUCACGAUUCAAGAACUCAUAACUAGAAUUUAUCAACUCAAAUUGCACACAUAAUCAUGGCUUUGAAAUCACCCCUAGCCAAGA